Molecule: long non-coding RNA, 1541 nt
Filed under: Callithrix jacchus (white-tufted-ear marmoset)
Lineage: Eukaryota; Metazoa; Chordata; Mammalia; Primates; Cebidae
Description: lncRNA (ENSCJAG00000076769.1)
Source: RNAcentral
AUGGUGAGCUUACUCGUGGUACAUCAUUCCAAGUUUCCAUCUGCUUGGUCAACAAUAACUCAACUGGAGAAGUUUCAAUGCACAUUUAUCAACCAAACUAAAUUUGUAACACCUACUUCUUUUCAGGAGGCUUCAAAACCAGUCAGAGACUGGCCGGGUGCGGUGGCUCAUGUCUGUAAUCCCAGCACUUUGGGAGGCCAAGGACUAGAGAGGAGCCCAAGAACACAUAACUACCAUGGAGCAGAGCUAGUAUUUGAAUUCAUACCCAAACUCCAACUAUUGCAAACUCCAACUACUGCUAAAGACUUAUCAACUACUAUCAAGAUGGAAGAAACAUUUUUAAAUGGAUCAGUAUUAUUUCUUGUUAGCUUUUAAUUGACUAGAUAGUUGCAUUGACUAGAGAUUUUAGUUUAAAAAUCAGAUUUGCGGAGACUGGAUUCUUGUUAGAAAAUAUCAUUUGUGAAAAUUGGACUAAAUUGUGAAAUUCAAAUACACUAUUUUUCGGAGGAUGCACUAAAGGUAACUUUUACUCAUGCAAACUAACAAUUACUCUUAGUGGUUCAGAAGCACUGGUGUCAAGAAUGACGAGAAAUCUGGUUUUAUCAUCUAAUCUUUUAAAGAUCUCAGUUGGGUGGUGGAAGGAGAGGACAGAUAAUCUGGUUUGUUAGCCUUUUCUGUUUGGUUGAUUGUCUGUUUGUGAACUCAAAUUAUUUGAGAAAAUGUUUUAAUUCCUCUGGGAGGGAGAAGAACUUAAAAUACCUGGACAAUACUUUUUCUUUCUAUGUUCUGUUUUUUCUUUUGACCCAUGGCUGAGGUUGUAGAAUGAGAGCUGUAAGCUCUUUGUGUGUCUGUGUGACUGUAUUUGAGAAAUGUCUUUACCUCUUUUGAUAGAUUCUAUUUUCAAAAAAUGGCCACUACCAUAUCUGCCUUCCAACACUUUAUUACAACAUGACUUUGACAUUCUUAACAUUGAGAGCAAGAUAUAUUCUAUACUUUUAAAUUGGAGCAGAUUUUGCACUCAGGUAUAAGUGGCACUGUGGAAUUUCUGAAGCUAGGUCAUAAAAGACAAUACAAUUGUUCUUAUGCUUGGGACCAACUACUAUGCUGUGGGGAAGCCCCAGCCACCCAUGUAGACAGACCUGCAUGGAGACAAACCAAGGGCCCAGCUCUCUGCCCUCAUCAAUGUCACAGCCAACAGCCACAACUAACACUGACUUUUCAGCCACGUGAGCAAGAUCUCUUAGAAGUGGAUCCUCCAUACCCCAGUUAAGCCAUCCCAAAUGACAAUGCAUGGAGCCUUCCCUGCCAAACCCUAUGCAAACUGUAGAUUUGUAAUACAAAUAAAUGAUAGUAGAUGUCUCCAGCUAGUAAAACUGGAGCCCAUUUUGUCAUGUGAAUGUGAACUAUUUUUUAUUGCUAGAGGAUAGUAAUAUAUUAAGCCAUAGAGUUUUUCAGUAUAGGAACUCUGUUCUGAUUGGUUGAUAGAGAUUCAUGAAUACAUAUAUAUGAUAUACCUCGUCUCUGUGUUUUAUAUUCUGACA